RNAcentral lists this ribosomal RNA (322 nucleotides) under uncultured eukaryote. RNAcentral describes it as "partial 18S ribosomal RNA". It matches the Rfam family "Eukaryotic small subunit ribosomal RNA", at positions 1470 to 1796 of the family's 1831-position model. The record is from RNAcentral.
CCCUUAGAUGUUCUGGGCCGCACGCGUGCUACACUGAGUGGAUCAACGGGUCAGCUUGCGCGAAAGCGUUUCCUAAUCUUUAAAUCCGCUCGUUAUGGGGAUUGACGGUUGCAAUUUUCUGUCAUGAACGAGGAAUACCUUGUAAGCGCGGGUCAUCAUCCCGCGCUGAAUACGUCCCUGCCCUUUGUACACACCGCCCGUCGCUCCUACCGAUUGAGUGGUCCGGUGAGGCUUUGGGAUCUGAGCGGAAAGAGCGUUUCGCUGUUUCUGCUCGGAAAACUCAGUCGAACCUUAUCAUUUAGAGGAAGGAGAAGUCGUAACA